UCCCUGACUCACUUCAGGGCUCCCGGCUGGUUUUGGAUCAGGCUGUCGCCCGCGGUGCCUAGGCUGGCGGUACUGUCACCGUGUUUCCUCUGCAUGUUCUCUAUCUGCUGGCACAUCACAGCAUGGCUGUUCUGGAGCUGCUGCCUUCUCCUGCCAGCUACCACAAAGUUGUAGCGGUUGGACCCUGGUUUCAGACUGAGACGGCAACACCAGCUUACAAUGGAUCAGGACUCUUGCGCUCCCUGCUGGUGAACAGAGGACACAGUAGAUAAAGUGAGAGGAGGUAAACUGCAGUAACUCACCUCCUGUAGUGCUGUCGAAACUGCUCCAGAGCGUAAACAGUAAACGGCCUGAUGGACUUGUGUGAAGGGAAUCCAGGAGUGGACGGCUGCUUCGCCAGAUGCCUUUUAUUGCCACAAACAUACACAAGAGCAGAUGAGUUUAGAGACAUCCUCGUGCUCUGGAGCCCCCUGAGCCUGAAGCUUCUCGUGGAUGUUCUUCCAGCGAUUUUCCAGCUGCUUCUUCACAGAGUCCAACUCCAUCCUGUUCAACUGCAGAGAGAUGGGAAG
Molecule: long non-coding RNA, 569 nt
Organism: Perca fluviatilis (European perch)
Lineage: Eukaryota; Metazoa; Chordata; Actinopteri; Perciformes; Percidae
Exons: 3
Source: RefSeq, a predicted model, not a curated record